UGAAGUCCACAAGUCAUAAAAAGGCCGUUGUUCCCUACCCUUGCUCUAGAGCCAGCCAAUUUUCUGCAGUCUUAAUCUCGUGAAUUAACUAGCACAGUUUACAACAUACCGAAAACAGGCCACAUUUACUCGAAUGGUAUGGAAGAAUCUAGCCUAUAAUAUUCUUUAAAGCCUUAUUUUCAAUAUGCUUUCGCUUACAUUUUUGAAUGUUGGAGACCCCUGUUUUAGACUGUGCCGCAGAAAUUAACAGGGAGAAAAAUUAAUUUUAAAAAAUUAAUCUCUGAAAAGUACAGAUGAGACAUCCCCACCCCACAAAAUCUCAACACUUAUGGAUUCUCGACUAUGGGUAAGAAUAUCAAUAGCAAAACUAUAUAGCUACUAAGUUAGUGGUUAAAAAAAAAAAAGUAAAGGGUACGUACAAAAUAAUGUUCUUGCCAAGUGUUAUGUUCUUUUCCUCUACUUUCCAUCCAAAGGAGCUUGGAUAACAACCCAUUAAUUAGUUAUCAAUUAAAGAAAAUCGCGGCUAUAUCUAGUGCUACAAAUAGGAAAGUAAAUAUUUUAAAAAAUUAUAACACCCUCCCCGGCAUUUUAAGAGCUGGAAUAAUGUAUUCCUAAUUUUUUUUUCCUUUAAAAAAAAGUUUCCACUAGGACAGUGUUGGCAAACCUUUUCGGCAUCAAGUGCCGAAACGGGAGCGCACGUGUGUGCGUGGGGGAGCUCCGGAAACCGGAAGAGGAGCUCCCUGGCACGCCAGGAAGCUGAGCUUCUAGUUUCCAGCAUGCACAUGCGCACCAGUCACCUUGUCUUCUGGUUUCUGGCACACGUACGCACGCAAAAACCAGCUGGAUGGCGUGCAUGCGUGCACCAGAAACCGGAAGCUCAUCUUCCUGGCACGCACAUGCAUACCAGGGAGCUGCUCCUCCGGUUUACGGCACUCCGGUGCACACGGAGACCAGCUGGCCAGCACACGUGCUCGUCGGAAUCCAGAAGAGUAACAAGUGACGGCUGGUGUGCCCCGAGAGAUGGUUCGGUGCGUCACUUCCGGCACGCGUGCCAUAGGUUUGCCAUCACGGCACUAGGACCAACUAAAACUCUCUAAUAUAUUCUGCUUUAUGGUACUGUUUCUCCCCCCACAAUCUCUGUGUUGGCCUAGUUGCAGACAAUGCCUGCUAAAAGUUGUUGAAAAGAGCAAUUGAAUGUACUAAUCUGCAGCUACUUCUGGCAUUUCCUUUGGCUCUUUGUGCUGAGGGAGGGAGUGAAAAUUGCACCAUUAUUUUAGUCGAAACAAAGCUAAAUCCCAGGAUGAAUUCAUGGACAGCUCCUGGCUGUUUUCUUGGCAACUAUAUGGGAUAGUCUGCAUUGUCUUCUUUCAGGAUGGUUUCAUCAACUUCCCAGUCUAGACUGUCAUCCUGGUUGUCUCCCAUCCACGUACUACCCAAGCUCAAGUCUGCUUAGGGUUUUUUUUUUCAAGAUCAGCCAAGAUUUGAGCAGUGUGAGAAGUUUGGAUCAAAACAUAGUUUAUUCUUUGCACUGUUUCCAUCUUCCCUUAAAAUAUUAACAGAAUCCACAAUGAACUGAGAAUCAGUGUCUCCACUAGAUAGGUGACAGUCAAACUGAAACUAAGUUAAUCAAGUAAAAAUAGCAAAUGGGAGGGGGAAAAUAUAACUUCCUCAACCCCCUCUCCCCAAAUAAAUUAGCCAGACCUAAUCCACAUAUCAAAGGUUAAGGUCUGUAAACACAAAGAGAGUUAAUUAAAUUAGGUAUCCCAGCAGAACUGCAUGUCCACAAGAAUAAACAUCAUAGAUGACAUACGUACACACAGAUGCCCUUCAAGGGUCACCCUAGAAUCAGCACGUAGACACUUCCACAGCUAGGACAAGCCCCCCCCCCAAUAAAACUACCCAAUUUUUCUUCAGCUGCCCCAAAGACAAACUCUUUGCUUUUAUGAAUAAAUAUUUCUUCUUUCCUCACAGCUAUCUGGACCACAUUUUUAUUUAUUAUUUCUUAAUUUAUUUCUUCAAUUCUGGUUUAAAUUGGAACCCCAAAUUAUUCUUCUGACGGUAGUUGCGACCGCUUGAGGGGAGAUAGCUCGAUAACUGUGGACCAGUGUUUCUCAAAUGUGACUUUAAAAGGCAUGGACUUCAACUCCCAGAAUUCCUUAGUCAGCCAUGCUGGCUAGGGAAUUCUGGGAGUUGAAGUCCCUACAUCUCGAUGUCAAUUUUGAGAAACACUGCUGUGCACAAUGCUUCUUAAAUACCACUGGAGGAUUAGUAAGAAAAUAACUGCUUUUAUGUUGGAAGUGUGGAUAUCCAAAAAGGUACAACCUACAUUGCUUUUUUUUUACCAGCUUUAAUAUUUGUUUCUUCUGUGGAUAUUGUUUUUUUCUAGCAUUGCUGAAAACCACUUUGGAAAAAGCCACAGCAGCAUUUAAACACCUGCAAACAGCAACAUAGCAUCUGUUGGAAAUGUCUUACAUUAAGAAUUUCUUGAAUGUUGUAUAUAAAUUGUAUUUGAAAAACGCGCUUUGGAAAUAGUUUGUACAUUAUUUCCUGAUUUAUACUUGAUAUUUAGUGUUAAUAUUUCUAACUGUUAAUAACAAGAUAACUUAACGUGUGGUGAUUUUUAUGUAUUGAUGUGAAAACGAGGCAAUGCCAGCAUUUUAACAGUUUCAUUACUUACUUGUACCAUAUUUUCUGUUUUGUAAUACAGAAUGUUAAAAUACACUUUUAAGUUUAAAAGACUGGAUUGUGAAGCCAAGUCACGGCACUUUUUCGUAUGACGGAAAGACUUUUAAAAGGACUGGUGUAAUCAUAUUUGUAGUCUUUGUCUUUGUUUUGGUUUUUUUUAAUUGCAGAUUUAAUGAAAAUGAUACAUAAACUACGUUCUAUUUAUAAUCGGGAAAUAUUUCAAGUAAAGAUCAUUGCAUGAGAAAAAA
Molecule: non-coding RNA, 2933 nt
Organism: Pantherophis guttatus
Lineage: Eukaryota; Metazoa; Chordata; Lepidosauria; Squamata; Colubridae
Source: RefSeq, a predicted model, not a curated record